Myodes glareolus (Bank vole) is the source of this 1272-nucleotide long non-coding RNA. RefSeq lists it as uncharacterized. The record is from RefSeq and is a predicted model, not a curated record. Lineage: Eukaryota; Metazoa; Chordata; Mammalia; Rodentia; Cricetidae.
UGCCUAUGUAAUUCAAAUAAAGCCACAAUACAGCCACAUUCCAUGGAUGUCACUAACGGCUGGAGAGCACCUGGGUAUUUACUAUGCCCUGAUACAAGUGCUUUGAGUUUUUGUUUGUUUUUUAUACUGGGAAUGGAACCUAGGGUCAUAUAAGGCUCUGCCAGUCUCUCACAACCGAGCCACACUUCAGCCCUCCAGGUCUAUUUGGAGGCAUGAGGAUCAGUAGUUCACGACGGUCAUUCUAGGCUACAAACUGCAGUCUGGGCUUAUCUCGAAGAACAGUAAGAAAUGAGUAAGCAGAGCAGUGAUCCCAAUGUCUCCCAAGACGACCCAGCGAGGAACUCACAAACCUUUACAAAGGAACACUUCUGGGAAAAGAGUGACAUAGAUUAUGGGAAGACAGUACACUCAGAACACAGGCUGCCCUGAGGUGGUAGAUGUGCUGAGAACGCCCUGAAGGAGCCGGGGCUGGCUCUAAACAGACAACAGGGCAGCAAUGAUGAGAGCCCAGGCUGAUUCCAAGAAGACCCUGGUCUGCGAAAGUGGCCUCUCUGAACCCUUGAAAGAGAGAAGAGGUUCCAGGGCGGUCGUCUAGGUUGGAUUCUUUCUCAUUGUAGCUAAUAAAUCAAACAGAAAUUGGGAAAAAACCAAAACAGAACAGAAAGUAACCGAAUCUCUCGUUGUCAGAUGCCCUGCCUGGACUUCUCCUACAUGCACGAUGUGCUUAGGCAGGAUCCUGGCACUCAGAGUCCUUUCCUGAUGAAAUGUUCACAGUCAGUCUUGGGAAGUGCCUGCACGCUCAAUCUCCAAAACUCACUGGACCAGCACGGUGGCACACACCUUAGUCUCAACACUUGGAAGGAAGAGGUGAAGCUGAUCCUGAGUGCGACAAAGUCACUCUGUCUACCCCAGCAGUAGGAAGCAAGGUCACAGCGCUUUUGGCUCUCGGGACAUGAGUAUGGAGAAAUGGCUGCGGAGAAGGGAUCAGAAAGAAACUAAAAAAGACAGAGGCCAUGUCUCAAAGACAAAACUGGCAAGAUGGUUCAUCAUACAAAGUUGCUUGUUCCCAAGCUUGACAUCUGGGUUCAAUCCUCAAACUAACAUAAUGGAAGAACUGGCCUGACAGUUGCCCUGAGUCUCACCUGUGUGCCACUGACCAAAGUGCACACACAAGCAAAUAAAUGUAGAAAACCAAAACAAAGGGAAGAAAUAAAAACAGAGUUCGUAACUGGAAAACUCGGCAGGGGGAAUGAGACGACCUCCUUGUCCCUG